GCCUGUUGCGCGGCAUAUGCCGCAUUCUGUUGCGCCUGCUGAGCGGCCAGAAACUGUUGCGAGGCAGCGGCCAGUUGCAUUUGCUGCUGCUGCUGUUGCUGCUGCUGCUGCUGCGAUUGCUGCAGUGAACCGUUGGGAGCGCCGGGCGGUGCCCCCACAGCGCUGCUUGCGGAUGUGGCCGCUGCGGCCGCGGCUGCGGCUGCUGCUGCAUUUGAGGCAGCUGCUGCAAGGCCU
This 234-nucleotide small RNA is filed under the name Drosophila guanche. The record is from RNAcentral. Lineage: Eukaryota; Metazoa; Arthropoda; Insecta; Diptera; Drosophilidae.